This 497-nucleotide ribosomal RNA is filed under the name uncultured bacterium. Its description in RNAcentral is "partial 16S ribosomal RNA". It matches the Rfam family "Bacterial small subunit ribosomal RNA", at positions 28 to 507 of the family's 1533-position model. The record is from RNAcentral.
GAUGAACGCUGGCGGCGUGCCUAAUACAUGCAAGUCGAGCGAACAGACGAGGAGCUUGCUCCUCUGACGUUAGCGGCGGACGGGUGAGUAACACGUGGAUAACCUACCUAUAAGACUGGGAUAACUUCGGGAAACCGGAGCUAAUACCGGAUAAUAUAUUGAACCGCAUGGUUCAAUAGUGAAAGACGGUUUUGCUGUCACUUAUAGAUGGAUCCGCGCCGCAUUAGCUAGUUGGUAAGGUAACGGCUUACCAAGGCGACGAUGCGUAGCCGACCUGAGAGGGUGAUCGGCCACACUGGAACUGAGACACGGUCCAGACUCCUACGGGAGGCAGCAGCAGGGAAUCUUCCGCAAAGGGCGAAAGCCUGACGGAGCAACGCCGCGUGAGUGAUGAAGGUCUUCGGAUCGUAAAACUCUGUUAUUAGGGAAGAACAAAUGUGUAAGUAACUAUGCACGUCUUGACGGUACCUAAUCAGAAAGCCACGGCUAACUACGUG